ACGCGUCCGCUGCCGCUGCCGCUGCCGGGCCGACGCCUCCGACCGCUCUCUCGUCCUCCACCCCCGCCCCGCCGCGCUCCGGGCAGCGUCCCGCGCGGAGAAGGGGGCGGGCGGCGGAGAGGUGAGGAGCGAGCCUGCAGCGAGCGAGGCCUUCGAAGUUGAGCAGCGGAGUGCGGGGAGACCCUCCGCUGCCCCCUCUUUAAAGCCGCGCGCGCACACACCGAUCCUCCACACAGAUAUCCUUCCUCCGCGCGCCGAGGAGUCCCGACGCCGCCGCCGGCUUCGCAGGCGCUGAGGGUGAGAGGCACGCUAAACUGCUCGGCUCCGCCACAUAACGAAGCGACAAUAAAGCCGGCGGAGCGUUUCCGUCCGACCAGGCCCUGGCGGAGGUCGAAUGGCAAAUGAACAACGGACCGUGCGCCCACAAUGCACCGGGGUAGCAGUAACCGCUGGAGGGGGAAAGGGUGGGGGCCGGGCUGGGGGAGGGGGGCUGGGCUUGGGGCUGGGCUGGGGUGGGGUGGGGGCGCCAGGGGACCGGGAAAGGGGCUGGGCUGCGCCUCCGGCCUGGGGGCGGGGGUGCGGCCGCGGGGAAGGAAGUCGGCCGAGGGGUUGGGGACAAAAGGCCGGGCGGCGGGCUGGGGGUCUCAGGGAGGGGGCGGGCGUGUGCGGCCGGGGCCGGGCUACGCGGAGGACAAACAGCUGGCGAGUGUCAGGGUCUGGCCGCCUCCCCGCUGCCCACACGCACCUACCCGCGCCCGGGACGCGCAUUUUCCUUCUCUCGCCACGAGUUCACCUGGGACUUUGCAAAUAACUGUGCGGUGGGAGCUGCGCUCCAGCCUUGUCAUUUGCUGAGGGUGGGUGGCGGUGCCCAAGGAAGUGAACUUAUUUUGUUCCUUCACAAAGACUGGACCAGGCGGUGCCUUUCACGCGAAGAGGUUACGACCACGGACACAACCUCCUUUGAUGCAUUGUGCGAGGCAGCACCUCGGGCCCCGGACAGUAGUCAUUUCACAGAAAAUGCACCGCCCCGAGUGUCUUAUUGCUGUGAUGAAAUGGAAAUUUAAAUAAAAGGUCGAACACGUGCGUUCACUGGGAAGUAUUGACAUGGGUGUUACAUCACCAGCAGCCAAUCAGAUAACUCCAGUCGUGUUUAUACUUCUACAACCACCUUGUGAGUAUUACAGUAUGUCAUAACGUUAUAAAUAUUAGGCAGGGUUUUCCCCAGGAGCGGGGAGGAGUCUGCUUCUACGGACGUUGUGAGCGGCUCCGAAGAUUGUGUGUUUAAAGUCAACAAUUCAUUUUUAAGACUUUUUUCGAACUGUUUACAUUACAUGGACUUUAGAUUGAUUCUGACAGAAUGAACUGGAAAUGAAAUCCCACAGUUAUGAUCGUAGUAGAGUUUUUUUUUCCAAUUUAGGGCCCUUAUACUCCUUUUAAAAAUUUUUAAUAUGCUAAAUUUAGCAAAUACUAAAGUGUUAAGACUCAUCUGACAAUGUGAGAAUUUAAGCCUAUUUCAGGUUAAGAAAAAAAAGAUGUUUUCAAGUUAUGGAGGGGCUUUUUACUCUUAAGCGACAUAUGUAUUAGAAGUUGAAUCACGAACUGAUAAAAUGCUCCAGAUAAUUGUUGACUAAAAAAAAUACGGCAGGACAAAUUUUUUACAUUAAUACAUAUGUGCAGAAAAUGAGAAAUAUACAUGAACUCUUUACAGUUAUAGAUUAAUGGGAAGGGUUAUGUUAAAGGCUUGAACCUCCUAAAUAAUGUAUUAAUGUAAAUAAAGUUAUAUAUGUUUUAUGAAGAACAGGUGUUACAAUUUUUAGACCUAGUUUUAUGAUUCUUAUUCUCUUCAAAAGUUCUUUUUCUAUUUCAAAACUAAGAGCAAUAUGUAAAGCUUUGUAUAAUAUGGAAUAUGGUAUGUAUUUCAAGGUUACUUUAAAAAGCAAGCUUUGGCUGGUCCCAAGGUAGUGAAUUGUCUCAAUUGGUUAUUCACAGUUGGUUGCCCGUUGUACCACUCUUUCCCCACUUCCACUUGACUAGUCUUUUAAAAAUAAAUAAAUAUUUAAAUAAACAA
Molecule: long non-coding RNA, 2068 nt
Filed under: Homo sapiens (human)
Lineage: Eukaryota; Metazoa; Chordata; Mammalia; Primates; Hominidae
Description: non-protein coding lnc-ZNF704-7:9
Rfam family: Y RNA (bases 1946-2040)
Source: RNAcentral